UGGGGGUGUAACUCAGUUGUAAGAACGGCCUGUCUGUCGAACAGGAAGUCGCGGGUUCGAGUCCCGUCAUCCCCGU
RNAcentral lists this transfer RNA (76 nucleotides) under Calothrix parasitica NIES-267. Its description in RNAcentral is "tRNA-Asp". It matches the Rfam family "tRNA". From Rfam's summary of the family: Transfer RNA (tRNA) molecules are approximately 80 nucleotides in length. The record is from RNAcentral. Lineage: Bacteria; Bacillati; Cyanobacteriota; Cyanophyceae; Nostocales; Calotrichaceae.